GACGAACGCUGGCGGCGUGCUUAACACAUGCAAGUCGAACGGAAAGGCCCUGCUUUUGUGGGGUGCUCGAGUGGCGAACGGGUGAGUAACACGUGAGUAACCUGCCCUUGACUUUGGGAUAACUUCAGGAAACUGGGGCUCAUACCGGAUAGGAGCUCCUGCUGCAUGGUGGGGGUUGGAAAGUUUCGGCGGUUGGGGAUGGACUCGCAGCUUAUCAGCUUGUUGGUGGGGUAGUGGAUUACCAAGGCUUUGAAGGGUAGCCGGCCUGGGAGGGUGACCGGCCACAUUGGGACUGAGGGACGGCCCAGACUCCUACGGGAGGCAGCAGUGGGGAAUAUUGCACAAUGGGCGGAAGCCUGAUGCAGCAACGCCGCGUGCGGGAUGACGGCCUUCGGGUUGUAAACCGCUUUCGCCUGUGACGAAGCGGGAGUGACGGUAAUGGGUAAAGAAGCACCGGCUAACUACGUG
This 468-nucleotide ribosomal RNA is filed under the name uncultured bacterium. Its description in RNAcentral is "partial 16S ribosomal RNA". It matches the Rfam family "Bacterial small subunit ribosomal RNA", at positions 28 to 507 of the family's 1533-position model. The record is from RNAcentral.